ACUCUAAUCCAAACCCAUUCAGCCUCCAGUUGGAGUGACCAAUGUUCGUAAAAUAAAAGUUGGAACAAAGGAUUUGCCAACGUCCAGAUCAGAUCGCACAGCAGAGGGACCUCCAAGGCAGACAUCAGGAGAAACGGAGUCAAAGCAAGAUGUGCCUCAGAGACCUCCUUGGGCGAGUGGAUUAGGCAACUCUAAGAUGGCUAAACAAGAGGAUCCAAGAAAUAGAGGU
Molecule: non-coding RNA, 229 nt
Organism: Sus scrofa (pig)
Lineage: Eukaryota; Metazoa; Chordata; Mammalia; Artiodactyla; Suidae
Source: RefSeq, a predicted model, not a curated record